Molecule: ribosomal RNA, 486 nt
Filed under: uncultured bacterium
Lineage: Bacteria
Description: partial 16S ribosomal RNA
Rfam family: Bacterial small subunit ribosomal RNA
Source: RNAcentral
AUUGAACUCUGGCGGCAUGCCUUACACAUGCAAGUCGAACGGCAGCACGGGUGCUUGCCCCUGGUGGCGAGUGGCGAACGGGUGAGUAAUACAUCGGAACAUGUCCUGUAGUGGGGGAUAGCCCUGCGAAAGCCGGAUUAAUACCCCAUACGAUCUACGGAUGACAGCGGGGGACCUUCGGGCCUCGCGCUAUAGGGUUGGCCGAUGGCUGAUUAGCUAGUUGGUGGGGUAAAGGCCUACCAAGGCGACGAUCAGUAGCUGGUCUGAGAGGCCGACCAGCCACACUGGGACUGAGACACGGCCCAGACUCCUACGGGAGGCAGCAGUGGGGAAUUUUGGACAAUGGGCGAAAGCCUGAUCCAGCAAUGCCGCGUGUGUGAAGAAGGCCUUCGGGUUGUAAAGCACUUUUGUCCGGAAAGAAAUCCUUGGCCCUAAUACGGUCGGGGGAUGACGGUACCGGAAGAAUAAGCACCGGCUAACUACGUG